UACGAAGGGGGCAAGCGUUGUUCGGAAUUACUGGGCGUAAAGGGCGCGUAGGCGGCUUACCAAGUCAGGCGUGAAAUUCCCGGGCUCAACCUGGGGGCUGCGCUUGAUACUGGUGAGCUUGAAUGCGGGAGAGGAUAGUGGAAUUCCCAGUGUAGAGGUGAAAUUCGUAGAUAUUAGGAAGAACACCGGUGGCGAAGGCGGCCCACUGGUCCGGUACUGACGCUGAGGUGCGAAAGCGUGGGGAGCAAACAGG
RNAcentral lists this ribosomal RNA (253 nucleotides) under uncultured bacterium. RNAcentral's name for it is "partial 16S ribosomal RNA". It matches the Rfam family "Bacterial small subunit ribosomal RNA", at positions 524 to 776 of the family's 1533-position model. The record is from RNAcentral.